RNAcentral lists this ribosomal RNA (1419 nucleotides) under Triticum aestivum (bread wheat). RNAcentral describes it as "partial small subunit ribosomal RNA". The record is from RNAcentral. Lineage: Eukaryota; Viridiplantae; Streptophyta; Magnoliopsida; Poales; Poaceae.
AUGGCGGCGGAGGCAGGCGCUCCUGGUUAUAAGUUAAGGAAGAGGAAAGCAACAGCACACGAGGUGCCCGGAUCGGAUGCAGAGGGAGGAGGCGCCGGCGUCGAUCGCAUCAGCGACCUCCCCGACGAGGUCCUCGGGGACAUCGUCUCGCUCCUCCCCACCAAGGAAGGCGGCCGCACCCAGGUCCUCGCCUCCCGGUGGCGCCGCCUCUGGCGCACCGCCCCGCUCAACCUCGAUCACCGUUCCUUCUUACGCGACGAGGAGGGCCUCGAUGUCAUCAUAUCGCGCGUCCUCGCCGCCCAUCAGGGCCCCGGCCGCCGCUUCUCCGCCCCGGUCUACCACCUCGCCGGCGACCGAGCGGAUGCCUGGCUCCAGUCCCCCGCCCUCGACAACCUCCAGGAGCUCGAGCUGUGCAGCUUCAGUCACAAGUUACCGCGUCCACCCUCAACGGUGCAGAUGCCGCCCUCGGCCGCCUUCCGCUUCUCCGACACGCUCUUUGUUGCCAUCAUCGGAGAUUGCCACCUUACCGACGACAUCAUUCAAUCGCUUCACUUCCCUAAGCUUCAGAAGCUCGCGCUUCAGAGGGUCAGCAUAUCCGAAUCCUCGCUGCACGCCAUGAUUGCCGCUUGCCCUGCUCUGGAGUGCUUGCUUAUUCAGAACAGUGGGGGCUUCAGUUGUGUCAGAAUCAACUCCAUUAGCCUUAGAAGCAUUGGUGUGAGCGGUCAUAGCAAUCGGACAGAGACCAAAUUUAAGGAACUCAUCAUCGAGAAUGCCCCUUGUCUUGAAAGCUUGCUCACACUUGGUUCAUGCGAGUGCCGUCUUAUAUCGGUGAUCUCCGCGCCUAAACUGGAGGCCUUAGGCUAUCUUUCUUCUCAUUAUGGUACCAGAAUCUCGUUUGACUCGACAGUUAUUGAGCGAAUGCGUGUUGAUCGCCUGACGACAGCGGUGCGCACUGUCAAGAUUUUAGCUAUUCUUAUGCAUGCUCUUAGUCUGGAUACUGUUCUUGACUUGAUGAGAUGCUUUCCGUGCUUGGAAAAGUUGUACAUUGAGUCAAGUGGACCAGGUAUUAGCAACUUAUGGCGUCGUAAACACCGGACUCUUAUAAGAUCACUUGACAUCCCUCUGAAGACUAUCGUAUGGAAUUAUUAUCGGGGAAUUAAGUCACAUGUUGACUUGGCCACAUUUUUUGUACUAAACGCUCGCGUGCUAGAAUUAAUGACUUUUGAGGUUAAUGUUGAAGAUUUCAACGAGGAGUUUUUUGCACAACAUCAUAAGAAGCUUCAGGUGGAUAGUAGGGCCUCAAGAGGUGCUCGGAUUCGUUUUACUACCGAUUGGUGCUAUAAUUACCAUAUGAAGCUUAGUGUCCAUGAUUUGGGUCGAGCUGACCCCUUUGAAAGGACACACCCUUUGCAAGGAGAU